UGUUCAUCUUCUGCAUGCUCACUGUGUCAGGCAAUUCAGGUAUACCAAACAUGGCCUCCAUGCAAACUAGCUUGGCAUCAGCUGUGUGCAACAACCGAAACUCCUCUGCUUUGUCGAAAUACCUCAACAGCUCCUUCCUCCAUGGAACUAACAUGAAUGGGCAGGUUGCAAGCAUAAGGCGAAAGGAAGUCUCCCCUGCUUUCUUUUCAGGCCCCAAAGCUACAUUAACUUUUGAUUCCUCUACUACCAACCAAGAAAAAGUUAAGACACGGAAGCACACAGUUGAUCCGAAUGCUCCUGACUUUCUCCCGCUUCCAGCCUUCGAGGAUUGCUUCCCUAAAAGCACCAAAGAAUACACGGAAGUUGUCCACGAGCAGUCCGGGACCGUGCUUCACGUCCCCUUUAGGCGCGUCCACCUUUCGGGUGGCGAACCACAUUUCGACACCUAUGACACCAGCGGUCCACAGAACAUCAGCCCACGCGUUGGGCUCCCGAAGGUGAGGAAGGAGUGGAUUGACAGAAGAGAAAAGGUUGGUGGGCCACGGUUUACGCAGAUGUACUAUGCUAAGCAGGGAAUCAUCACCGAGGAGAUGGUGUUCUGUGCUGCUCGUGAGAGGUUAGACCCAGAAUUCGUGAGAUCUGAGGUUGCUCGUGGCCGUGCAAUCAUCCCCUCGAACAAGAAGCACCUCGAGUUGGAGCCUAUGAUAGUGGGGCGCAACUUCUUGGUGAAGGUGAAUGCAAACAUCGGCAACUCUGCUGUAGUGAGCUCAAUCGAGGAAGAAGUCCACAAGCUUCAGUGGGCAACAAUGUGGGGCGCUGACACUAUCAUGGACCUCUCAACGGGCCGCCACAUCCAUGAAACCCGUGAGUGGAUCCUACGCAACUCUGCUGUGCCUGUCGGCACCGUGCCUAUCUACCAAGCGCUGGAGAAGGUUGACGGCAUCGCUGAAAAUCUCACUUGGGAAGUCUUCAGAGAGACACUGAUUGAGCAAGCUGAGCAGGGUGUGGAUUACUUCACCAUCCAUGCUGGCGUCCUGCUCCGCUACAUCCCAUUGACAGCCAAGAGGAUGACGGGCAUUGUCUCUCGUGGCGGAUCCAUCCACGCCAAGUGGUGCCUCGCUUAUCACAAGGAGAACUUUGCAUAUGAACACUGGGAUGAUAUACUAGACAUCUGUAACCAGUACGACAUAGCCUUGUCGAUUGGUGAUGGAUUGAGGCCUGGAUCGAUUUACGAUGCCAAUGAUACUGCUCAGUUUGCUGAGCUCUUGACUCAAGGUGAAUUGACACGUAGAGCUUGGGAGAAGGAUGUGCAGGUGAUGAACGAAGGGCCUGGACACAUUCCGAUGCACAAGAUCCCGGAGAAUAUGCAGAAGCAAUUGGAAUGGUGCAAUGAAGCACCUUUCUACACACUUGGCCCUUUAACAACCGAUAUCGCUCCCGGAUACGAUCACAUCACAUCUGCCAUUGGAGCUGCCAACAUCGGGGCUCUUGGAACGGCGUUACUCUGCUACGUGACCCCUAAAGAGCAUCUUGGGUUGCCUAAUCGCGACGAUGUGAAAGCCGGAGUCAUAGCGUACAAGAUAGCUGCACAUGCCGCUGAUCUGGCAAAGCAGCAUCCUCACGCUCAAGCUUGGGAUGAUGCACUGAGCAAGGCGAGAUUCGAGUUCCGCUGGAUGGAUCAGUUUUCUCUGUCAUUGGACCCGACCACUGCCUUGUCAUUCCACGAUGAAACGCUGCCGGCUGAUGGUGCUAAAGUGGCACACUUCUGCUCGAUGUGCGGGCCUAAGUUCUGCUCGAUGAAGAUAACCGAGGACGUCAGGAAAUAUGCAGAGGAGCACGGCUAUGGAGACGCGGAGGAGGCUGUAUUGCACGGCAUGGAAGCCAUGAGUGCGGAGUUCUUAGCUGCCAAGAAGACUGUGAGUGGAGAGCAACAUGGCGAGGUUGGAGGUGAAAUUUACUUACCAGUGGAGUAUGUCAAAUCUAAGACAGUUUGAAGGGGCUUCUUUCACAGAAGACACAAUAAACUAGGCACGAUCGAGAACCGAGUCUUGGAGCUAUGAUGCAUGGAUUAGCUAAGUCAAGAUUCAAGAAUGAUGAGGUUUGAGAAACCUCUUGAUGCAUUAGUUGCAGCCGUUGAGGCUCGGGGCUUGGACCCGAUCGGGCUGAGAAAGUCCCUUUGCACCUGAACAGGAUAAUGCCUGCGUAGGGAGUGUGCUUUUUUUGUGUUUUGUGUUUGCAGAUGGAAUGAAGAUCGACUGCCCCGUUUCAGCCAUCCUGCACCUUCAUAUGUAUGCUUGUAUGAGUCAAGCAUUUCAACAUGACCUGUGGUGUGUGUUUUGGUUUAGAAACUUAGACAAUGGCAGAUCUAGGUAGGUCAAGGGGUCGACUGACCCACUGCCAGCCCAUCAGGGCCCGUAAACUCCACUAAAUUUUGUUUUUGGAGCUGCCACUGAUCCCGUGGUACAGCAACUCUCCCAACCCUUCAGUGUUAAGGUUCAACUUUUGUUCUUUGUCGGUGUCGUAAGGUGACAACCUUCUUUACUA
RNA transcript from Salvia hispanica, 2544 nucleotides. It is a transcript of the gene named phosphomethylpyrimidine synthase, chloroplastic, with no coding region annotated. Lineage: Eukaryota; Viridiplantae; Streptophyta; Magnoliopsida; Lamiales; Lamiaceae. The record is from RefSeq and is a predicted model, not a curated record.